GACGAACCGUGCAAACGUUAUUCGGAAUCACUGGGCGUAAAGGGCGCGUAGGCGGCGCGAGUAGUCAACGGUGAAAGCCCGGGGCUCAACCCCGGGUCGGCCGUCGAUACUCUCGUGCUUGAGCACUGUAGAGGCAGGUGGAAUUCCGGGUGUAGCGGUGGAAUGCGUAGAGAUCCGGAAGAACACCGGUGGCGAAGGCGGCCUGCUGGGCAGUAGCUGACGCUGAGGCGCGACAGCGUGGGGAGCAAACAGG
RNAcentral lists this ribosomal RNA (253 nucleotides) under uncultured bacterium. RNAcentral's name for it is "partial 16S ribosomal RNA". It matches the Rfam family "Bacterial small subunit ribosomal RNA", at positions 524 to 776 of the family's 1533-position model. The record is from RNAcentral.